Molecule: ribosomal RNA, 465 nt
Filed under: uncultured Veillonella sp.
Lineage: Bacteria; Bacillati; Bacillota; Negativicutes; Veillonellales; Veillonellaceae
Description: bacterial SSU rRNA
Rfam family: Bacterial small subunit ribosomal RNA
Source: RNAcentral
CCUACGUGGGGCUGCAGUGGGGAAUCUUCCGCAAUGGACGAAAGUCUGACGGAGCAACGCCGCGUGAGUGAUGACGGCCUUCGGGUUGUAAAGCUCUGUUAAUCGGGACGAAUGGUUCUUGUGCGAAUAGUGCGAGGAUUUGACGGUACCGGAAUAGAAAGCCACGGCUAACUACGUGCCAGCAGCCGCGGUAAUACGUAGGUGGCAAGCGUUGUCCGGAAUUAUUGGGCGUAAAGCGCGCGCAGGCGGAUCAGUCAGUCUGUCUUAAAAGUUCGGGGCUUAACCUCGUGAUGGGAUGGAAACUGCUGAUCUAGAGUAUCGGAGAGGAAAGUGGAAUUCCUAGUGUAGCGGUGAAAUGCGUAGAUAUUAGGAAGAACACCAGUGGCGAAGGCGACUUUCUGGACGAAAACUGACGCUGAGGCGCGAAAGCCAGGGGAGCGAACGGGAUUAGAUACCCGAGUAGUC